UCAAUUCAGGAACCAAUUCCGAUCAAAACCUAACGAGAUCACUGUCAUCCACCGCCGCCAGCCUCCUCACGCGACCAUGAAAGUCACGACGGCGCUGGUCCCUAGCUCUCAUCGAGAUCCAGCUGUUUCCUCAACACACCUCCACCAUUAUUGUGCUCAGAGGAAGCCGGACAUCAAAAUCCAGAAGCCUCGCCGGUGACUCACUCUCGGAGGACCACGCAUGUGCCAUCGCUGGAACCCGAGACUCUGGGUUUCUCUGGUCUUCCUUCUCCAAAUCGAAUCAAGCUCUAAUACCUACAUGAUUUGAAAUUAAAAUUGAAGAGCAAGAAAGAGGUACUACUCUGAAAUUGAACAAGCAGGAGAUGAAGUUUCGAAGAAAUAAACUCGAAAAGGCUGAGAAAUGGACAGAAUAAUAAUAGGGUACCACCAAGCGUGCAAUCGAUGACUGUGGAAAGAUUGUUGUUAGGGCUUCAAUUUCUGUAGCGACGGACUCGGUGUUUCGAAUCCUCCGGGAAAAAUAGCUUACCCAUAAGUGCACAUAGCAAGAGUUCUGUUUCCAAGGAAGAUGGAGGGAAGAAGAUAGAGCUGAAGCCUGGAUUUCUAAUGGAGUAUGAUGAGAGCGUAUACCUCUGUCCUUUUUUAUUUCUUCCAACUGCUUUUAGUGGUUGUUUUCUAUUAUAUUGUUGAUACUAAAUUACUGAUAAAAUAUGAGUAGAAAUUUCUC
Long non-coding RNA from Rosa rugosa (rugosa rose), 724 nucleotides. RefSeq lists it as uncharacterized. The transcript is spliced from 3 exons. The record is from RefSeq and is a predicted model, not a curated record. NCBI's taxonomy places the organism in Eukaryota, Viridiplantae, Streptophyta, Magnoliopsida, Rosales, Rosaceae.